Long non-coding RNA from Equus quagga, 1898 nucleotides. RefSeq lists it as uncharacterized. The record is from RefSeq and is a predicted model, not a curated record. The transcript has 3 exons. Lineage: Eukaryota; Metazoa; Chordata; Mammalia; Perissodactyla; Equidae.
CAGGCCCUGCCUCUCUCUUAUAAGGACACGUGUGGUGGCAUUUAGAGCCCACCCAGAUGAGCCAGGAUAAUCUCCCCAUCUCAAGAUUCUUAAUCCCAUCUGCAAAGACUCUUUUUCCACAUAAGGUCACAUUUACAGGUUUCAGGGAUUAGGAUGUGGACAUCUCUUUGGGAGCUGUUAUCAGACUACCAAAAUAAGUAAAGACAUCUUCAAAUUUACCAUUUAUUAAGCAUUUACCAUGUGCCAGACACCCAAAUACAUUUUUCUCACUGCAUUUAAGUCUUGCAAUAACACUGAAAGGUAGAUAUUAUUGCCUCUACCCUACAAAUGAGGAAACUGAAUGAGUCUCAAGGGGAUUGAGUCACCUGCCUAAGUUCACAUAGCUGAUAAGUGACAGAGCCAGGAUUUGAAACCAGAUGAGCUUGGCUCCAAAGCCAGCAUGAUUUUUGCUUCACCAACAGUCUCUGAUCCUACCCCAGGCCCUGGCACAAAUCUCUUACCUGAAUGGAUGUGCAGAAACAGAAAGAUAGGUGGACAAGGGAAGGAAAAUGAGGUCCAGCCUUCUUAAUGAUAUUGACUCAGGCUUUCUUUUGCCAAAGCCCCCUGACUACCCCUCUAAUCUUCCCCCACCACCCCUGACCUCUUGUUUCAGAAACCUGGAAUCUCCUCCAGUUUGCAUCCUCCUGCCAACUACUGCUGCCCAGGAGGGUGGCACAGUGCCUGCACUUCAGGCAGGAGAUAUCAAAUCACAGAACCAGAGGGACCUCUGGAGGUCACCUCUUCUAGCCCUCUGCCCACAUACAGACCUGCUCAUGAGGACAGGGGAGACGGGAUCAGGGUAGUGGGCAGCAGAAGGGAGAAGUAGCCAUCUCUUCUUUCAGCUACCCUUUUCUUCUCACUUCUUACACGAUUUGUAUUGGGAAGUCCUCACUCAGAUUAACCUUCUAGAGAUCAUGCUAUAUUGAAAGCUGACCUGAGUCAGAAGUCCUGUGACCCAGUCCUAGAUUGUCCAAAACAUAAAACGAGAUUUUGGCUAAGUCCCUUCACCUCUCUGGGCCACUAAUUCUUCAUCUUUAAAACAGAAUCGAUAAUGACAAUAAUGAUGAUAAUAAUAAUACCCAUCUCACAGAGCUGUUGGGGGAAUAACACAGUCCAGGGAAGAAGCAUCCAACCCACGGCCUGGAGCAAGGCAGGUUCUGCAGAAAUAUUUUGUAACAGCUCCUCAGCUCUCCAGUCGAUGCCCCUUCUUCCUGGAUUUCACAGGGCUGUGCUCACCUCAGCCAGUCUGGUCAGCCUUGCGCGCUAGACUGUGAACUCCUCUUGGCAGGCCCUUGUUCAUUUUUUAAUCACUGCCCGUUCCCCUGCCCAGUAUCUAGCCUAGGCUCCAUCUAUUUUUGAUAAGUAAACGAGUGAGGGUCUGAGUUGGACCCCCAAGUCUCGAGAGGCACAGAGCCUGACUCCCACCACUAACCCUUCUGGGCGCUACCAUUUCUCCUGGGGUCCAGGAGGCGGCAGCGGCGAGGAAAGAAGGCGCUGCAGCUUUAAGAUUCCUCUCGGGCGUCCCGGUUGCCAAGGCCCGGUUGCCAGGGAUCUGCGCGGAGCUGCGUCCGGCCUCCGCGGGCCGGCUUCGGGCUUCCGCCGCCGCCGCCGUCUCCGUCUCCGCCGCCGGGCCGCGCCGGGCUCGGCUCCUCCGAACCGUCUGGCGGACUUGGCACCGGCCCCGGCUCCUCAGUGCCCCCGCCGACCCUACCUAAAUUCUCUGGCAAGAAGGAGAAAGGGAGAUGAGGGGCUGGCUUCCAUCUCUGCUGCUGUGUUGUGUGGAUCCCUCCUCUUUCUUUGAAGGAGCACCCAGUGUUCACCUGUUCGGAUCCUGGGCACGGACCUACACACCACUCAUC